CCUGGUGACAUUAUAAAACAGUGUCUGAACUCACCCAGCUGGGGAACAGGCAGAGAAACCCCAUGGCUUCACCAUCCUCAGUGCAAUGCUAUUCAUUAUCACCUGAAAAACUCUAGGAAUCUACAGGAUGGUCCAUGGAUGCCACACUCAGACCUCCUCAGUGGUGACCUUGGUAUAUUGAACCACAAGGCUGAUAGAAGACUGCACCUCCCGAAAGCAGGCAGCAAGACAAGCCACAGCAAUCAAACCAGAUGUUUCCAGUUCUCAGCCAACGUCGCCUGGGGACCCUCCCAUUGAGAAUGUUACCUCCCCAAGAAGGAAGAGGAACUGAUCUUUUAUGAACACUUAUCAACCUAAAGCCAAGGAAGACAGCCCAGCAGCGUGCUGACUUAUGGGUAAAGCCAGCCAAAAGUCAUCCUCCAAUAUA
Equus caballus (horse) is the source of this 427-nucleotide long non-coding RNA. RefSeq lists it as uncharacterized. NCBI's taxonomy places the organism in Eukaryota, Metazoa, Chordata, Mammalia, Perissodactyla, Equidae. The record is from RefSeq and is a predicted model, not a curated record.